Long non-coding RNA from Gallus gallus (chicken), 2012 nucleotides. Lineage: Eukaryota; Metazoa; Chordata; Aves; Galliformes; Phasianidae. The record is from Ensembl.
AUCUUUUUCUGGAGAUCCCUCCCUUUUGGAGUUUUCCAUUGUGAGCCUGGAUCCUCAGGGCCCUUAUGCUUAUUUUUAUGAUAAUUUUGCUUCCACUUUAUGACAUCAGGCUGAAUCCAGCUAAGCUCAGCCUGUAUCCUCUAUGGGGAGCACCUCACCUGCCUUCACCCCUCGAAACCUUCCAUGCUCUCUGAGCAUCAGGAGAGCAUCCCUUCACCUAGAGCCUUCACUGUAAUGGAAGAAAUGGCAGCUUGAAUACCAGCAUGAAGAUAUACCUUGCACCGUGAUCCAUGUGAGAGAAGUAACCAGAUAUUUUUUGGCUGCCAGCUUGGAAGUCCCUGCUGUCACUGAAGCAAUACUGAUAAGUCUUCUGGCAGGAAUUUUCUAUAUUGGUUUCCCUAACAAUUUUUUUUUCAACGAAAUUAUUGCUUCUUGUGUUUUGUGGAUAUUUUCCAUGCAUUCAUGACUCCAGGGAAAAUUCCUAUCCAUCAAGCCCAUUCAGUGUGCUACUGUAUUUUCCUUCUUUGUGUUUUGUUUCCCAAACAUAAACACUAAUAACAACUUCUGGGACUCAAAGGAAGGCUCCUAAGUUUUGUUUCAAAAUAGCAAGGAAAAAAAAUAAAAGCCAGAGUGCACUGACACAAAUUUGGGGUUUCUGUUUUAUCUAUGGGGGUGUUUGAAGGGGAGAAUGGUGGAUCUACAAAAGUUUGAUUCCAGCAGAUCUCUAACCUGUUUUGCUCUCUUGCUUUAAGUCUUUUUUCCCUUCUUCUUCCUUCCCCAUUCUUACUAAUACUGUUCUCUUUACAUGAGUAGCUUUUAUCAUUUUUCCUUUUCAACCAUUUAAUUGUUUUUUAAUUUCCUUUCUCCUUCUGUCGUUCCUUUUUAAUUCCGUUUUACCUUCCCAUCCUCUUCUCUUUUCCUUUUUCUCCUAGCUCUGCCCUUCUCUGUGGGAGCUGACACUUAUCCCCAAAUUAGUGCGAUAACACAGGAAAAAACCUUGUUUUCAGAAGCUCCCAUCAGUCUCAGGACAGGCAGUGCACUGGGCUAACGCCUUACUAAAUAUAACCCUUUUGUUUGGCAUAAGAUGGCUCACCCUGGUUCAGUGGAAUGGCUUUGUUUUAGGUGUAGAUAGUACAUCAGGGCUGCCUGGCAGGUGCAUCUUGCAGUCAGUGUCACCAAGCAAUAAAUUCUGUAAUUACAGGUCAUGGAGGUGGAGUUCUCCUUUGAUGUGACUUUUUUUGUUGUUGUUGCAAGCGGAUACAAUUUGCCUGAGAUAUCAAAUGCAGAUAGCAGUAAAAAUUUAAUUAACAAAUCAAAGCUUUUAUCUGGGGUUCUAAGAACUCAAGCCAACAGGUUUUUUCAAUUUAAAGACAUCACAGACAGAAGGACGAAGGCAGUGACUUUGUAGUAUAUUCAGCUUACAACCUUUUUAGUGAUGCUUGCAAAGAUAAAACUUUUUUAGCUGUUGCUUUUCAGUCUGGAGAAGCUUUUAGGUCUUCCUCAAAAGCAAGUAUGUUGUUCAUUGCCUGCCUUAUUUUCAUAAUUCUAACUUCACCGUGAGCACACAUUUCUCUCAUGGCUCUGCGGAUUACUUAUCAGGAGAAUGUGAGGAGCAGUCAGGCUCCACGUUCUUGCUGGUUAAUUCCACUUGCAGUGAACCACUUGCUCAUGAUAUCAAUUGGCCUAAACUGUGGGCAUGAUAUUUCUUCCAUGAUUCGCUUAUCUCCUUAAGAAUGAAAGCCUGGUGGAAAACUUGUCUCUUGGCUUCUUCAUAUGCAUAUGGGGAAGUUACUGUUUUCCUUUGGUGCUUUCCUAUCGUGCAGUCAUGAUUGAAAUAGCCAGGUCCAGAAACUGAGUGUCUGAGUCACAUUGCUCAUUCUGCUGGUAACUCCUGGGAGUUGGGGGAGCAGCAGUCUGCCCCUGUGUGUUGUGUGUGUGUACCUACUACUUACUGUCUAUGUACUGAACAUCAGGCAAAUGUGCAAGGAAAUCUUUUAAAAAUCCACAUACCC